GCUUGGUACGGUUUGUAGCCCUCCAACCCAGCAGCCUUGCCCUAAAAGGACUCUCCCUCUCUUGAGCUAGGUAAGGAGAAAUGUGGAGUUGAAAUUUAUAGGGCUUUUAGGUGUUUGUGUUCGAUUGCCCUAGUUAGGCUUGGAUUUUGGGUUUGUGCUAGUUAGGAAAGUUGUAGAGCAUGAUGAGAGGAAGAUGCUGUUAAAAUUUCAUAGGAAUUGGAGGUCGCCGGAAUUGGCCUCCGGCCGCCGCCGGUUUGGGAGAUUUUUAGGGUUUUAAAUGUGGAAUAUUAAGGGGAUUAUAUUGAGGUGAUUUAUGGAAUUUUUGGAUGAGAUUUGGAUAGGUUUGUGAAUUUCCGAAGUUUGGUAUUUUUGGCGGUUAAUUAAUGUAGAAUCCGGCCGUAAGAUUUAAGUCGUAUUUUUGGGGAGGUUCUAUUUACGACUGCCGAGGAUGAUAUUUAAGUUCGGAUCGUUCCGAUUUAAGAAUAUCGAAGUUAGGCAAUGAUGAGCGUGUUUAUGGCUUUCGGGUAAUUUUGCCUAUUUUGAUUAAUUAUUGGAUUGUUAGUUGGGAAAUUAAUAUUAUAUUUGGAACAGGACCUGAGGAGGCUCGAGCAGACGAGACCCCAGAUCGACAUCAGGCUUAGGCCUAAUUUGUGAGUGGACUUUUGUUUUAAAUAAUGUGCAUGCGAAAUAAUUUAUGUUGUUGGAGAAUAACCGAAAUUGAGAAUUUCGGUGAGUAUAUAUAUAUAUAUCCAUAUGUGGAUGAUUAUGAGAAUAAUAUGUAUAUGAGAGAAUGCUAGCUAGCUAUACGUGCUUUUCCACCAUACUGAGGUAAAAUUCCAUUAUGGUGCGACUUGAGCGUUAGACGCAAUCGUUGUAGCCCUAUAUAAAAUUAAUAAUUUAUAUAGGGGAUAUGCGCGUAUAUUUAUACACCGUCUUUUCCACCAUAAUGAGGUAAAAUGCCAUUAUGGUGCGACGUGAGCGUUAGACGCAAGCGUCGUAGCCUUGUGUGAAUAUUCUAUUUGUCUUUGUUGUUUCAAGAAAAUUCAUACAAGGGAUAUGACGAGUGUAAUACAUACAUAUUUUAUUUUAGCCUGAGAGGCUGUAUUUUGUUGAGCGUUUUGAGCUGUCGCAUGCAGCAUAUUUUUCUAUGGAAAAGUAAAAUUGGGAAAGCAUAAAGAAUUAUUUCCUUUAAUUUAUUUUUGUCCACUCACUCUAACGUGUUCAAAUGUUUCCCCUGGGCCCUUCGUUUUAAAAUGCCCAGUCUGCAGAGUUCGGGUUGGACCUAGUAGGAGACGAGGCAUAGUCACCCGCAUUUUCACCACUUUUCAUCCGUAGGUUACCUAUUUAACCUACAUGUGAUUUCUUAUUUCCGCUAGUGUCUAGUAGCUCUGAAUUCUUAGGUUUAAUGUGUAUUAUUUCGGUUGUGGGUGAGGACUUGUUGAGGUCUUAUAAUAUUUGUUGGAGGAUUUAUGCUAUCUUUUGGAUAAUUAUGUUUGAUGUGUGGAUAAUGUUGUGUUGUUGGUGGUAGUUGUAAUUUGGGGAGCACGUAGGCUUCAGGAGUUAAGGUUGGAUUAAAAUUUUUGGAAGUGUUUGCAGGUUUUCCUUAGGAAGGGUUGUCCAUUUUCAAGGGAGGUUAUGCCGAUUUUGCGGUAAAAUCUUUCUUGGAGGUGGUCCCCGCACGAUUUACUCCGGGUUUCAGGGUGAAAUUCGGGGUGGGUCGUGUCAAAAUAUAUCAUGCUCACUUAUUCCGGCCUCUAUGUACAAGGCUGACCAGACAAAAUUAAAUUUUUUUCUUUGCCUUUUAGGUCAGGUCUACAACUCCCUAGAAGGUGCACCACUAAUUUGUCUGUGCUAUUGUGUGGAAUAAAAUUUCUCAAGUUUGAUUGGUUGUGUGUAGUUGUUAGUACCCGAAAAAUCAUGUCGUCAUUUAAAACGUCGUCACACAUAGUCACACAACUCGAAUAAGGAAUUUAUUGGUUUCAUUCACAAUCUUAGAUCGCCUAGCAAAUAUUCCCAUUAAUACGGGCCCAAGCCGUAUCUGCGCUUGUUUGGGGCUUGCAGAAGUGGGUGUGGUGUGGUGUGGAAGGUUACGAAAACGUAUGAUACUCAUUUGUCGGUUUAAUGUCGUUGGUGAUUUCGGACUUGGGCCCGAAAUCCAAGCCCAAAAACUUAGAUUAACAAAUGAGAUGGUGAACAUGCAAAGAGAAUUUGAGUCAAACUACCAUUUCUUUCAAACCUAAGCCCUAACUGUACUUGGGCCCAACAACAUCCUUCUCGUUUACCUAAAUGAACUAUUGACUUAGGUUCAUCCUAUCCAUACAUAAAGACGAAAGGGAAUGCAGAUGUAACUGCAAUCUCCUACACCAAUGCCCCAAACAAUGUUUUGGUUGGUCUUGACUAAUGUCAGAUAUCUAUAAUCAUUAGGUCGCUCCUAAACUGGUUAUGUGAUCAUCAUUGGGAACACAAUGAUAUCUUGUGAGAAACAUCAGACUAUCCUCAAGUUUCAAGUGAAUCAAGUAAGGUCUGAGGAGAAUAGGACAUACUUGUUUCUCAAAUCACAGCCUAAGGCUAUAUCUGAAAGAAAUGAGAGAAACAUAGGAAUGCAAAGACGUUCCUAGCUCCCUUAAUUGAUGUAAGGAUCAAGAGAGUGUAGAAUUCAAGGGAAGUCUGACACACAUAGGUGCGUUAUGCUCUUUUUCGUUCGACCAAGAUUUAUUUUGUCCCACUGAGUUUUGUUACUUGGCAAAGUUUUUAAUGAGGCAACACCCCAUGCACUGUUUUGACUUUGACUUGGCACAAGGGGAAGUGUUGAAGGAAAAUGUUUUAUAAGUGUCUUCAUCAAAGUAACUAACGAGAGUUAAUUAUGUAAUCAACAUGUGUAAUUUCUCAAUCAGUUAUUAUUGUCAUUAUGUAUGUUUUAAUUACCUUUGUAAUCUCACCUCUAUAUAAAUGGGAGUAUCAAUGAAAUGAGUAUAUUAUUCUGAUUCUCAUUUUACUUUUACUUUUACAUUUACAUUUGAAUGAGUUUUAGUGUUUUACCCAAUUUAAG
RNAcentral lists this long non-coding RNA (3049 nucleotides) under Fragaria vesca (wild strawberry). RNAcentral's name for it is "long non-coding RNA (FVES_LNC002371)". The record is from RNAcentral. Lineage: Eukaryota; Viridiplantae; Streptophyta; Magnoliopsida; Rosales; Rosaceae.